GAAGGUAACCAUUAGUGGGGAUUCAUCAGGAUGGUGGCCAGUGACAAGCGGGGUCCCCCAGGGCUCUGUCCUGGGGUCCAUCCUGUUUAAUCUUUUCAUAAAUGACAUGGAAGAAGGUGGUGAACAGUCUGAUCAAAUUCACAGGCGAUACUAAAACUGGGGCAGUGGCCACAAUGGAGGAGCAGGUACUCCAGAUCCAAAAGGAUCUAGACAGACUAUGGAAGUGGGCAGGAGACAACAGGAUGGAGUUCAAUGUGGAUAAAUGCAAGGUCCUGGGGCAUAGGAAUGGGUGUCUUAAGUACAGGUUAGGGGACAAGUGGCUAGAGAGCAGCAUUUGUGAAAGGGAUCUCGGGGUGCUGGUUGACUGCAGGCUAAACAUGAGUCAGCAGUGUGAUGUGGUGGUCAAGAGGGUGAACGCCACCCUUGGUUGCAUGGCCAGAAGCAUGGCUUCUAGAUCGAGAGAGGUAGCACUCCCAUUCUAUACGACUCUGGUGUACCCGUAACUGGAAUACUGUGUUCAGUUCUGGGCUCCACAUUACAGGAAGGAUAUAGCCAGGUUAGAGUCACCAAAGUGGCAGGUCGAGCCCGGGUUGGUUUUGAUCUGAUAAAUGCACACAUUCCCGCAGGUCAGCGCUCAUUGGCAUGUAUUAGCUCUAGAAUUACCACAGUUAUCCAAGUAACAGUUGGAGCAACCA
This is a long non-coding RNA of Varanus komodoensis (Komodo dragon), 695 nucleotides long. RefSeq lists it as uncharacterized. NCBI's taxonomy places the organism in Eukaryota, Metazoa, Chordata, Lepidosauria, Squamata, Varanidae. The record is from RefSeq and is a predicted model, not a curated record. The transcript is spliced from 4 exons.